Molecule: long non-coding RNA, 362 nt
Filed under: Vigna radiata
Lineage: Eukaryota; Viridiplantae; Streptophyta; Magnoliopsida; Fabales; Fabaceae
Description: long non-coding RNA (VRAD_LNC012095)
Source: RNAcentral
UUAACUCAUUCGGUAAAUGUUGUUUGUCUUUAUUGAUACGGGAACGUACAGUAAUGUCAUGAACUGGGGGGAAUUCCUUGAUUAUGCUAAUACCGCCUAGGAAUAGGGGUAGGACAAUCAAUUGUAUUUUGCUUCUGUUUAUCAUGCAUUAUUAGUUACUAGGGGAGGCUAGGAAUAACAAGUAGGUAAUUAGUAAUAGGCUCUUUUCACUAAGGAAUUGGGUUAAGGGUAGACCAAGAAAGUUUGGAUGGCAAUAUGAUAAAUAAGCUAAGUAGAUAAGAAGAGUAGAUACAAAAGGGUGAUUGGGUGAAAUCUGAACCCUAGCAACAAAUCCAUCUCAUAUUAUCACCAUCAUCCAUCCA